GGCUCAGGAUGAACGCUAGCGGCAGGCUUAAUACAUGCAAGUCGUGGGGCAGCAUGAGUAGCAAUACUUGACGGCGACCGGCAAACGGGUGAGGAACACGUACACAACCUUCCUUCAAGCGGGGAAUAGCCCAGAGAAAUUUGGAUUAAUACCCCAUAAUAUAUCUGAUAAGGCAUCUUAUUAAUAUUAAAGCUUCGGCACUUGAUGAUGGGUGUGCGGGCUGAUUAGAUAGUUGGCGGGGUAACGGCCCACCAAGUCUACGAUCAGUAGCUGACGCGAGAGCAUGAUCAGCCACACGGGCACUGAGACACGGGCCCGACUCCUUACGGGAGGCAGCAGUAAGGAUAUUGGACAAUGGACGAAAGUCUGAUCCAGCCAUGCCGCGUGAAGGAUUAAGGUCCUCUGGAUUGUAAACUUCUUUUAUAUGGGACGAAAAAAGGGCAUUCUUGUUCACUUGACGGUACCAUAUGAAUAAGCACCGGCUAACUCCGUG
RNAcentral lists this ribosomal RNA (493 nucleotides) under uncultured bacterium. Its description in RNAcentral is "bacterial SSU rRNA". It matches the Rfam family "Bacterial small subunit ribosomal RNA", at positions 21 to 507 of the family's 1533-position model. The record is from RNAcentral.